RNAcentral lists this ribosomal RNA (2898 nucleotides) under Escherichia coli. RNAcentral's name for it is "bacterial LSU rRNA". It matches the Rfam family "Bacterial large subunit ribosomal RNA". The record is from RNAcentral. Lineage: Bacteria; Pseudomonadati; Pseudomonadota; Gammaproteobacteria; Enterobacterales; Enterobacteriaceae.
UUAAGCGACUAAGCGUACACGGUGGAUGCCCUGGCAGUCAGAGGCGAUGAAGGACGUGCUAAUCUGCGAUAAGCGUCGGUAAGGUGAUAUGAACCGUUAUAACCGGCGAUUUCCGAAUGGGGAAACCCAGUGUGUUUCGACACACUAUCAUUAACUGAAUCCAUAGGUUAAUGAGGCGAACCGGGGGAACUGAAACAUCUAAGUACCCCGAGGAAAAGAAAUCAACCGAGAUUCCCCCAGUAGCGGCGAGCGAACGGGGAGCAGCCCAGAGCCUGAAUCAGUGUGUGUGUUAGUGGAAGCGUCUGGAAAGGCGCGCGAUACAGGGUGACAGCCCCGUACACAAAAAUGCACAUGCUGUGAGCUCGAUGAGUAGGGCGGGACACGUGGUAUCCUGUCUGAAUAUGGGGGGACCAUCCUCCAAGGCUAAAUACUCCUGACUGACCGAUAGUGAACCAGUACCGUGAGGGAAAGGCGAAAAGAACCCCGGCGAGGGGAGUGAAAAAGAACCUGAAACCGUGUACGUACAAGCAGUGGGAGCACGCUUAGGCGUGUGACUGCGUACCUUUUGUAUAAUGGGUCAGCGACUUAUAUUCUGUAGCAAGGUUAACCGAAUAGGGGAGCCGAAGGGAAACCGAGUCUUAACUGGGCGUUAAGUUGCAGGGUAUAGACCCGAAACCCGGUGAUCUAGCCAUGGGCAGGUUGAAGGUUGGGUAACACUAACUGGAGGACCGAACCGACUAAUGUUGAAAAAUUAGCGGAUGACUUGUGGCUGGGGGUGAAAGGCCAAUCAAACCGGGAGAUAGCUGGUUCUCCCCGAAAGCUAUUUAGGUAGCGCCUCGUGAAUUCAUCUCCGGGGGUAGAGCACUGUUUCGGCAAGGGGGUCAUCCCGACUUACCAACCCGAUGCAAACUGCGAAUACCGGAGAAUGUUAUCACGGGAGACACACGGCGGGUGCUAACGUCCGUCGUGAAGAGGGAAACAACCCAGACCGCCAGCUAAGGUCCCAAAGUCAUGGUUAAGUGGGAAACGAUGUGGGAAGGCCCAGACAGCCAGGAUGUUGGCUUAGAAGCAGCCAUCAUUUAAAGAAAGCGUAAUAGCUCACUGGUCGAGUCGGCCUGCGCGGAAGAUGUAACGGGGCUAAACCAUGCACCGAAGCUGCGGCAGCGACACUAUGUGUUGUUGGGUAGGGGAGCGUUCUGUAAGCCUGUGAAGGUGUGCUGUGAGGCAUGCUGGAGGUAUCAGAAGUGCGAAUGCUGACAUAAGUAACGAUAAAGCGGGUGAAAAGCCCGCUCGCCGGAAGACCAAGGGUUCCUGUCCAACGUUAAUCGGGGCAGGGUGAGUCGACCCCUAAGGCGAGGCCGAAAGGCGUAGUCGAUGGGAAACAGGUUAAUAUUCCUGUACUUGGUGUUACUGCGAAGGGGGGACGGAGAAGGCUAUGUUGGCCGGGCGACGGUUGUCCCGGUUUAAGCGUGUAGGCUGGUUUUCCAGGCAAAUCCGGAAAAUCAAGGCUGAGGCGUGAUGACGAGGCACUACGGUGCUGAAGCAACAAAUGCCCUGCUUCCAGGAAAAGCCUCUAAGCAUCAGGUAACAUCAAAUCGUACCCCAAACCGACACAGGUGGUCAGGUAGAGAAUACCAAGGCGCUUGAGAGAACUCGGGUGAAGGAACUAGGCAAAAUGGUGCCGUAACUUCGGGAGAAGGCACGCUGAUAUGUAGGUGAAGUCCCUCGCGGAUGGAGCUGAAAUCAGUCGAAGAUACCAGCUGGCUGCAACUGUUUAUUAAAAACACAGCACUGUGCAAACACGAAAGUGGACGUAUACGGUGUGACGCCUGCCCGGUGCCGGAAGGUUAAUUGAUGGGGUNNNNNGCGAAGCUCUUGAUCGAAGCCCCGGUAAACGGCGGCCGUAACUAUAACGGUCCUAAGGUAGCGAAAUUCCUUGUCGGGUAAGUUCCGACCUGCACGAAUGGCGUAAUGAUGGCCAGGCUGUCUCCACCCGAGACUCAGUGAAAUUGAACUCGCUGUGAAGAUGCAGUGUACCCGCGGCAAGACGGAAAGACCCCGUGAACCUUUACUAUAGCUUGACACUGAACAUUGAGCCUUGAUGUGUAGGAUAGGUGGGAGGCUUUGAAGUGUGGACGCCAGUCUGCAUGGAGCCGACCUUGAAAUACCACCCUUUAAUGUUUGAUGUUCUAACGUUGACCCGUAAUCCGGGUUGCGGACAGUGUCUGGUGGGUAGUUUGACUGGGGCGGUCUCCUCCUAAAGAGUAACGGAGGAGCACGAAGGUUGGCUAAUCCUGGUCGGACAUCAGGAGGUUAGUGCAAUGGCAUAAGCCAGCUUGACUGCGAGCGUGACGGCGCGAGCAGGUGCGAAAGCAGGUCAUAGUGAUCCGGUGGUUCUGAAUGGAAGGGCCAUCGCUCAACGGAUAAAAGGUACUCCGGGGAUAACAGGCUGAUACCGCCCAAGAGUUCAUAUCGACGGCGGUGUUUGGCACCUCGAUGUCGGCUCAUCACAUCCUGGGGCUGAAGUAGGUCCCAAGGGUAUGGCUGUUCGCCAUUUAAAGUGGUACGCGAGCUGGGUUUAGAACGUCGUGAGACAGUUCGGUCCCUAUCUGCCGUGGGCGCUGGAGAACUGAGGGGGGCUGCUCCUAGUACGAGAGGACCGGAGUGGACGCAUCACUGGUGUUCGGGUUGUCAUGCCAAUGGCACUGCCCGGUAGCUAAAUGCGGAAGAGAUAAGUGCUGAAAGCAUCUAAGCACGAAACUUGCCCCGAGAUGAGUUCUCCCUGACUCCUUGAGAGUCCUGAAGGAACGUUGAAGACGACGACGUUGAUAGGCCGGGUGUGUAAGCGCAGCGAUGCGUUGAGCUAACCGGUACUAAUGAACCGUGAGGCUUAACCUU